GGGCGAUUAGCUCAGUUGGUAGAGCGUCUCGUUUACACCGAGAAUGUCGGCGGUUCGAGUCCGUCAUCGCCCA
This is a transfer RNA of Devosia soli, 73 nucleotides long. It matches the Rfam family "tRNA". From Rfam's summary of the family: Transfer RNA (tRNA) molecules are approximately 80 nucleotides in length. Their secondary structure includes four short double-helical elements and three loops (D, anti-codon, and T loops). Further hydrogen bonds mediate the characteristic L-shaped molecular structure. tRNAs have two regions of fundamental functional importance: the anti-codon, which is responsible for specific mRNA codon recognition, and the 3' end, to which the tRNAs corresponding amino acid is attached (by aminoacyl-tRNA synthetases). tRNAs cope with the degeneracy of the genetic code in two manners: having more than one tRNA (with a specific anti-codon) for a particular amino acid; and 'wobble' base-pairing, i.e. permitting non-standard base-pairing at the 3rd anti-codon position. The record is from Rfam. NCBI's taxonomy places the organism in Bacteria, Pseudomonadati, Pseudomonadota, Alphaproteobacteria, Hyphomicrobiales, Devosiaceae.